CCUACGGGAGGCUGCAGUAGGGAAUCUUCCACAAUGGGCGAAAGCCUGAUGGAGCAACGCCGCGUGGGUGAAGAAGGUCUUCGGAUCGUAAAACCCUGUUGUUAGAGAAGAAAGUGCGUGAGAGUAACUGUUCACGUUUCGACGGUAUCUAACCAGAAAGCCACGGCUAACUACGUGCCAGCAGCCGCGGUAAUACGUAGGUGGCAAGCGUUAUCCGGAUUUAUUGGGUGUAAAGGGAACGCAGGCGGUCUUUUAAGUCUGAUGUGAAAGCCUUCGGCUUAACCGGAGUAGUGCAUUGGAAACUGGGAGACGUGAGUGCAGAAGAGGAGAGUGGAACUCCAUGUGUAGCGGUGAAAUGCGUAGAUAUAUGGAAGAACACCAGUGGCGAAAGCGGCUCUCUGGUCUGUAACUGACGCUGAGGUUCGAAAGCGUGGGUAGCAAACAGGAUUAGAUACCCCUGUAGUC
RNAcentral lists this ribosomal RNA (465 nucleotides) under uncultured bacterium. Its description in RNAcentral is "partial 16S ribosomal RNA". It matches the Rfam family "Bacterial small subunit ribosomal RNA", at positions 338 to 795 of the family's 1533-position model. The record is from RNAcentral.